Daphnia magna is the source of this 727-nucleotide long non-coding RNA. RefSeq lists it as uncharacterized. The record is from RefSeq and is a predicted model, not a curated record. The transcript is spliced from 3 exons. NCBI's taxonomy places the organism in Eukaryota, Metazoa, Arthropoda, Branchiopoda, Diplostraca, Daphniidae.
UGGAGGGGUUGCUUGGCUUGUAAGAAUAUGAAAUGUAGUUGAACCAGGGAAUUGAAUGUAAUUGAUACGAAAUGUAAAACGACAUAUCGUGAAGUAUUCAUUCCGUAAGGCGGAAAAGUGCUAUGCGGUGGACUCCAAAGGCAAUUUUUUUUAAUGUUAAUGAUACUUAAUUUAUUUUUUUGCUUCAGAUAUAAAGUAUCAAUUCCAUCAAAUGUUAUGGGACUCAUGUUUGCAUCCAAGGCCGAAAAUGGAAAUAUAACGAAACCAAUUUAAACAGAUAUGGCUACCUGAUAUUAUUAGUGACAUGUCAGGUCUUUAUGGUCAAAAAGAAGUCUGAGUGCUUUUUGAAGAAAUUUUGCUGCACCGAGCUCGGAAUUUUCCGGGGUUUAAAUUGUGAUUCCCGAUGGGUUUUCUUAAGAAACCAGUUUACGUUGACGCAGUAAGAGCUGCAAAUUCUAAUGCUAGAGUUCGUACGUUAUGAUUUCGCGAUCGUUUUAUGCCAACUAACCACGAAGAUGUCAUGCAACUGCAUUUUCAUGUGUCAGAAAACUGUGUGCUGAAAGAGAUGCUGCAUUUUCGAAGAAAGCUACUUCCACAUCACCGUUGGUCGCUGCUUCGUCUCCAAGAUAAAAAAUUUACAUUUUUAUAAAUUAAAGUUCAUAUCUGGGCUCCCUUCUUUUCUGUGGCCCUGUUUCCCCUUGACUCGUAAUAAGCCCGUAGGGGGUCA